Molecule: transfer RNA, 73 nt
Filed under: Felis catus (domestic cat)
Lineage: Eukaryota; Metazoa; Chordata; Mammalia; Carnivora; Felidae
Also listed under: 3 other names
Rfam family: tRNA
About the family: Transfer RNA (tRNA) molecules are approximately 80 nucleotides in length. Their secondary structure includes four short double-helical elements and three loops (D, anti-codon, and T loops).
Source: Rfam by way of RNAcentral
GCCUGGCUGGCUCAGUUGGUAGAGCGUGUGACUCUUGAUCUCGGGGUUGUGAGUUUGAGCCCCGUGUUGGGUG